This 468-nucleotide ribosomal RNA is filed under the name uncultured bacterium. RNAcentral's name for it is "partial 16S ribosomal RNA". It matches the Rfam family "Bacterial small subunit ribosomal RNA", at positions 28 to 507 of the family's 1533-position model. The record is from RNAcentral.
GACGAACGCUGGCGGCGUGCUUAACACAUGCAAGUCGAACGGAAAGGCCCUGCUUUUGUGGGGUGCUCGAGUGGCGAACGGGUGAGUAACACGUGAGUAACCUGCCCUUGACUUUGGGAUAACUUCAGGAAACUGGGGCUAAUACCGGAUAGGGGCUCCUGCUGCAUGGUGGGGGUUGGAAAGUUUCGGCGGUUGGGGAUGGACUCGCGGCUUAUCAGCUUGUUGGUGGGGUAGUGGCUUACCAAGGCUUUGACGGGUAGCCGGCCUGAGAGGGUUACCGGCCACAUUGGGACUGAGAUACGGCCCAGACUCCUACGGGAGGCAGCAGUGGGGAAUAUUGCACAAUGGGCGGAAGCCUGAUGCAGCAACGCCGCGUGCGGGAUGACGGCCUUCGGGUUGUAAACCGCUUUCGCCUGUGACGAAGCGUGAGUGACGGUAAUGGGUAAAGAAGCACCGGCUAACUACGUG